GAUGAACGCUGGCGGCGUGCCUAAUACAUGCAAGUCGAGCGAACAGAUAAGGAGCUUGCUCCUUUGACGUUAGCGGCGGACGGGUGAGUAACACGUGGGUAACCUACCUAUAAGACUGGGAUAACUUCGGGAAACCGGGGCUAAUGCCGGAUAACAUUUAGAACCGCAUGGUUCUAAAGUGAAAGAUGGUUUUGCUAUCACUUAUAGAUGGACCCGCGCCGUAUUAGCUAGUUGGUAAGGUAACGGCUUACCAAGGCAACGAUACGUAGCCGACCUGAGAGGGUGAUCGGCCACACUGGAACUGAGACACGGUCCAGACUCCUACGGGAGGCAGCAGUAGGGAAUCUUCCGCAAUGGGCGAAAGCCUGACGGAGCAACGCCGCGUGAGUGAUGAAGGUCUUCGGAUCGUAAAACUCUGUUAUUAGGGAAGAACAAAUGUGUAAGUAACUGUGCACGUCUUGACGGUACCUAAUCAGAAAGCCACGGCUAACUACGUG
RNAcentral lists this ribosomal RNA (497 nucleotides) under uncultured bacterium. RNAcentral describes it as "partial 16S ribosomal RNA". It matches the Rfam family "Bacterial small subunit ribosomal RNA", at positions 28 to 507 of the family's 1533-position model. The record is from RNAcentral.